This 775-nucleotide ribosomal RNA is filed under the name Gnomonia gnomon. Its description in RNAcentral is "eukaryotic LSU rRNA". It matches the Rfam family "Eukaryotic large subunit ribosomal RNA", at positions 136 to 937 of the family's 3401-position model. The record is from RNAcentral. Lineage: Eukaryota; Fungi; Ascomycota; Sordariomycetes; Diaporthales; Gnomoniaceae.
GCCCGAGUUGUAAUUUGCAGAGGAUGUUUAUGGUGCGGUACCUACCGAGUUCCCUGGAACGGGACGCCACAGAGGGUGAGAGCCCCGUCUGGUAGGAUACUAAACCUGUGUUAAACUCCUUCAACGAGUCGAGUAGUUUGGGAAUGCUGCUCUAAAUGGGAGGUAAAUCUCUUCUAAAGCUAAAUACCGGCCAGAGACCGAUAGCGCACAAGUAGAGUGAUCGAAAGAUGAAAAGCACCUUGAAAAGGGGGUUAAACAGUACGUGAAAUUGUUGAAAGGGAAGCGUUUAUGACCAGACUUGUGCCGUGUGGCUCAUCCGAGGUUCUCCCCGGUGCACUCCACGCGGCUCAGGCCAACAUCGGUUCUUGUUGGGGGAUAAGAAUAGUAGGAACGUAGCUCUCUUCGGAGAGUGUUAUAGCCUAUUGUACGAUACCCUGACGGGGACCGAGGACCGCGCUUCGGCUAGGAUGUUGGCGUAAUGGUCAUUAGCGACCCGUCUUGAAACACGGACCAAGGAGUCGUCCAUUAGAGCGAGCGUUUGGGUGUAAAACCCGCACGCGUAAUGAAAGUGAAAUUAGGUGAGAGCUUCGGCGCAUCAUCGACCGAUCCUGAAGUUUACGGAUGGAUUUGAGUAAGAGUUUUAACGGACGGACCCGAAAGACAGUGAACUAUGCUUGAAUAGGGUGAAGCCAGAGGAAACUCUGGUGGAGGCUCGCAGCGGUUCUGACGUGCAAAUCGAUCGUCAAAUUUGAGCAUGGGGGCGAAAGACUAAUCG